This 228-nucleotide long non-coding RNA is filed under the name Mytilus galloprovincialis (Mediterranean mussel). Lineage: Eukaryota; Metazoa; Mollusca; Bivalvia; Mytilida; Mytilidae. The record is from RNAcentral.
UUGGCGGCUUAAUUAUAUCAAGGGCAGAUCCAGCCAUUUAUAAGAGGGGGCUUUCCAUGUUGAAGGGGGGGUUCUAACUAUAUGUCAACAUUCAAAUGCAUUGAUCGUCAGAACAAAAGGGGGAGGUUCCAACCCCUAAAACCUUCCACCUUGAUCUGCCACUCCAUAUGAAUCUUUAAUACUUUAAAAGGUUUCCCCGUUUAUCUUCAAUUUAAGUUUUAAUGGCAG